GUGCUCACUUUGGCAGCACAUAUGCUAAAAUUGGAAUGACAGAAGAUUAGCAUGACCCCUGUGCAAGGAUGACACACAAAUGUGUGAAGUGUCCCAUAUUUUU
Molecule: small nuclear RNA, 103 nt
Filed under: Canis lupus familiaris (dog)
Lineage: Eukaryota; Metazoa; Chordata; Mammalia; Carnivora; Canidae
Also listed under: 2 other names
Source: RNAcentral